RNAcentral lists this ribosomal RNA (454 nucleotides) under uncultured bacterium. RNAcentral describes it as "bacterial SSU rRNA". It matches the Rfam family "Bacterial small subunit ribosomal RNA", at positions 28 to 443 of the family's 1533-position model. The record is from RNAcentral.
GACGAACGCUGGCGGCGUGCCUAAUACAUGCAAGUCGAACGCACUCUCGUUUAGAUUGAAGGAGCUUGCUCCUGAUUGAUAAACAUUUGAGUGAGUGGCGGACGGGUGAGUAACACGUGGGUAACCUGCCCCUAAAGUGGGGGAUAACAUUUGGAAACAGAUGCUAAUACCGCAUAAAAACCCUAAACACCGCAUGGUGUAGGGUUGAAAGAUGGUUUCGGCUAUCACUUUAGGAUGGACCCGCGGUGCAUUAGUUAGUUGGUGAGGUAAAGGCUCACCAAGACCGUGAUGCAUAGCCGACCUGAGAGGGUAAUCGGGCCACACUGGGACUGAGACACGGCCCAGACUCCUACGGGAGGCAGCAGUAGGGAAUCUUCCACAAUGGACGAAAGUCUGAUGGAGCAACGCCGCGUGAGUGAAGAAGGUUUUCGGAUCGUAAAACUCUAGUUGUUGG